CAGCAGCCACGGGAAUACGAAGGGGGCUAGCGUUGUUCGGAAUUACUGGGCGUAAAGCGCACGUAGGCGGACAUUUAAGUCAGGGGUGAAAUCCCGGGGCUCAACCCCGGAACUGCCUUUGAUACUGGGUGUCUAGAGUAUGGAAGAGGUGAGUGGAAUUCCGAGUGUAGAGGUGAAAUUCGUAGAUAUUCGGAGGAACACCAGUGGCGAAGGCGGCUCACUGGUCCAUUACUGACGCUGAGGUGCGAAAGCGUGGGGAGCAAACAGGAUUAGAUACCCCGGUAGUCCCUGUCUCUUAUAC
This 301-nucleotide ribosomal RNA is filed under the name uncultured bacterium. RNAcentral's name for it is "partial 16S ribosomal RNA". It matches the Rfam family "Bacterial small subunit ribosomal RNA", at positions 509 to 807 of the family's 1533-position model. The record is from RNAcentral.